Long non-coding RNA from Notothenia coriiceps (black rockcod), 566 nucleotides. RefSeq lists it as uncharacterized. NCBI's taxonomy places the organism in Eukaryota, Metazoa, Chordata, Actinopteri, Perciformes, Nototheniidae. The record is from RefSeq and is a predicted model, not a curated record. The transcript is spliced from 3 exons.
UAUGGCAGCUUGUGGCAGGCAGCGCUGAGGCACGCCCUGAUGGCAGCAGUUACCCUGAUAGAAACGACUCAACUACAUUUAAACCAUGACUGAACUGAACAGGAGAGACUCUCAGACCGGCAGAGGACGCAGAGAUGCUGAGGAAUCAGACCAGACUGUAAACCCAGCGUAGAGAGGUUCAGUGAAUGUGGUUCUGAAGGUGUGGAGGUGGAUCAGUGUGUCAGAGGAGGAGACUCUGUAGAAGGAGAGAGAGCCAGCAGGAUGAUCCAGAUACACUGCUACUCUACCAGAGGAGGAGGAGGAGGGGGAGUAGGAGGAGGAGGGGGAGGGGGAGGAGGUGAUGCUUGUUGCGCUGUUAUUGUGCCAGACAUAGUAACGACUAUCAUCAGAGCACUCCAGACUCCAGGACUGAUCAUUCCUUCCAAACACACUGUCCUGUCUGUCUCCUCUCCUGAUGAUUCCUCUGUAAGUCACUGAUAUACGAACCCUUCCUCUCCUCUCGACCUCCCAGUAACAGCGACCAGUCAGAGCUUCUCUGCACAUCAGCUGACGACGAAAAUCAAACA